GACGAACGCUGGCGGCGUGCUUAACACAUGCAAGUCGAACGGAAAGGCCCUGCUUUUGUGGGGUGCUCGAGUGGCGAACGGGGGAGUAACACGUGAGUAACCUGCCCUUGACUUUGGGAUAACUUCAGGAAACUGGGGCUAAUACCGGAUAGGAGCUCCUGCUGCAUGGUGGGGGUUGGAAAGUUUCGGCGGUUGGGGAUGGACUCGCGGCUUAUCAGCUUGUUGGUGGGGUAGUGGCUUACCAAGGCUUUGACGGGUAGCCGGCCUGAGAGGGUGACCGGCCCCAUUGGGACUGAGAUACGGCCCAGACUCCUCCGGGAGGCAGCAGUGGGGAAUAUUGCACUAUGGGCGGAAGCCUGAUGCAGCAACGCCGCGUGCGGGAUGACGGCCUUCGGGUUGUAAACCGCUUUCGCCUGUGACGAAGCGUGAGUGACGGUAAUGGGUAAAGAAGCACCGGCUAACUACGUG
This 468-nucleotide ribosomal RNA is filed under the name uncultured bacterium. Its description in RNAcentral is "partial 16S ribosomal RNA". It matches the Rfam family "Bacterial small subunit ribosomal RNA", at positions 28 to 507 of the family's 1533-position model. The record is from RNAcentral.